Molecule: long non-coding RNA, 342 nt
Organism: Cyprinus carpio (common carp)
Lineage: Eukaryota; Metazoa; Chordata; Actinopteri; Cypriniformes; Cyprinidae
Source: RefSeq, a predicted model, not a curated record
UGUACUAUUGAAAUCGUUUAGAGGAUUUAAAUGAGCUGCUAUUAAUCUUGUUAUCCAGGUGUCUGAUACAUUCACUUGCACUUAUGUCUGUCUCUCUUUAGCCGUUGCUGCAGCACAACUUUCAGCUCCUCUGUUCCUCAGUGAAUCUGUGAUAGUGCUGAUCUCAGCUGCUGCUGGAUCUCUGGUGUAUAUGGUUUUGAUUUGGAUGUUUUGUGUGUGCAGGGGACACAAAAAGGCAGCUCAGACCCAUGAAUAUGAGAUUCCUCAAUCACUCCACAAACAGAUUGGACAAAUGACGGAAUCUGAAAUGACAGAGGUAGUUUACACAUAUAACAAAACAGA